RNAcentral lists this long non-coding RNA (4405 nucleotides) under Canis lupus familiaris (dog). Its description in RNAcentral is "lncRNA (ENSCAFG00000050108.1)". The record is from RNAcentral. Lineage: Eukaryota; Metazoa; Chordata; Mammalia; Carnivora; Canidae.
UUUUUUCCAAAAACAAAUACUAGGACAAGAGACUCUUAGAGGCCAACUCCAGUUCUCAUUAGUAGAACGACAGUGUCACAGUUAGAGACAGGAAGGGCAGAAGGACAAGCUGAUGAGGGGGUUCCGAAGCCACGAUGUGGGAUCAGGUGAGGAGGUAGGUUUGGAACCCAUCCCUUCGCUCCAAAGAUUCAUAUUAUUUGGCAUCCGUGUGCCAGGCACUGAACCAGGCAAAGGGGGUAGAAGAAUGCCCACCACCGACAAUAACUUAACCAAUAGGAGGAUUUCAGAUUGUGCUCAGUGCCUGGAAGUUAAUUAGCAGAGGAUAGAGAUGAAUUAAUGCUCGGAAUGGACUUAGAGAGUGGCAGGAAGGGGAUGUGGCAACUGAAGUGAAAUCCCAAAGGAGCAGUCGAAGGCGAGGGUGGGCUAUCAGGAGGGAUCAGGGUCUGUUGAGGAGGGCACCAGAUCCCGGACUCCGGGGUGGGGGUGAGCGGAGCUUGUGUUGUUCACAGACAUGAGUGGGAGCGGAGAGAAUGGGGAGUCUUGGUGUCGGGGGCGCCAAGGCCGUAAGGAGACACCGUCUUACAGCCAGAGGGGAGGCAUUUUUUAAUUUUGUCACCACCACCGAGGAAAAACACUGAGGGGUUUCAAGCAGCGAAAUGACCCUACACGCUCUUGGUUUUGCAAAGGGCACCUGCGGUUGCUCGAUGGGAUUAAAUUGAGGGGAGAGCAGAGUGGAGCACCCACUCAGGGGCGACGGUGGUGGUCGUAGAGCAAGGUCAGGGAGGCCAGGAAAUGGACAGAGAUGGCAACACGAUGCCACUCUCUGCCUGCUGUGGUUCUCGGCACUGGUGGGCGGUCCCCCGUGGGUUUUCAUUCCCGAAAAUAAGACUCCAGGGGCUAGGGAUGCCUGGGUGGCUCAGUGGUUGAGCGUCUGGCUCAGGUAGUGAGCCCGGGGUCCUGGGAUCGAGUCCCGCAUCGGGCUCCUUCCCCCACGGAGCCUGCUUCUCCCUCCGCCUGUGUCUCUGCCGGUCUCUGUGUCUCUCAUGAAUAAAUAAACAAAAUCUUUAAAAGAAAAAAGACAAGACUCCGGCGGGGGGGGGGGGGCGGGCAGCGCUUAUAAUUAGGACUCCCAAAUGUAUCAAAAGUAUUUUCCAGGGUCUGACAACUCUUGCAUUCGCCCUGUUUUCCAUUUAGUGACUCUGAAAGUUGAUUAACUGUGAUCUUAGAAAGUCUGGAAUUUUAAACCUGCUUAAGAAUCAUCUGGAGGGUACGGGUUAAAGAGGCAGGCUGAUUGCUGGGCCCACUCCUCAUGAUUCUGACUCGGGAUGUCUAGAAUGGAGCUCAGGAGCUUGUAUUGAGAACCUCAAGGAAGUCAAAUACAGCACAGUUUGAGAAACAAUGUGUCAGGGCUGGUCCUUCCAUCCUGCCUUUGGAAUAAUAGGGCAGUCUUCUGAGUCUUCUUGGUUAGUUUUCAACUGAGACAAUAGUCUGGCUGGGCCAGGUUGUGCUGCAGGACAAAAUAAUGCCCCAAAUCACUGUGGCUUACAAGGACAGAGCUCAUCCCCUGGGGGUUACAUAUCCAUUCCAUGUUGGGGGUGGAGGGCCCUGUUCCACACUGUCCUCAUUCAGGAUCCUAAUGGCAACUCUAAUGGGAACUCCGCCUUCUGGAACUUUGCUGGCUGCCGCGUUUGAGGGAAGAGAAGAUGGAGGAUCUGGGGACUGGCUCCUCCCUACUGUAACGUGCUCACUUCCAUUUAUGGUUCCUUGGCCACACCUAACGCUUUGAGGUGUGAACAUGCAAUCCUCUUGUGAGCUGGAAGGAGAAGCAAAUGGAUCUUGGAACCAAUGGCAACUUCUGCACCCGAGGAUACAGGAGGCAAAAAUCAGGCUAAUAAAAAUGGUCCCUAAGCUGUCGAGGAAUACAGGGCACCCAUGGACAGUGGAGUUACUAAAAGAACAUGAAAAUAGUAUUUCCCAAGUUGCUAAAAGCUUCUUUAGAGAGAUUUCUUAAUCUCUAUUAAGUAUUUGAUAUCUGCUAUGGUUAAAUAGAAGAAUAGUUAAUGUGUAUUAAUAGAAAAUCUCAUUAAAAUUUCUUUAAAUAUCUGAUAGUUUUUGAGGACAAGGAACACCGCGCAGAAAUAAUAUAUAUUAACUAAGUCAUGUGAUGGAAUUGUUGGCGGUGCAUAGUCCCACUGUUCCCUGGCCCCGGUGCUUAUCCGGGGUAGUGGAGCACUAAUCUCCCUGUUCUAGCGCCAUCACAUCCGUGUCAGGGUCCCACCAGCUCACUGCUCUGCACCUGUUUCCUCCUCUGUAAAAUAGGAUAGAGAGGGAUAGUGGAUCACUAAUGUCCCUCUCAGAAGAACCCAGAGGCUUCAGUCCUGAUGCGAUCAAAUAUGAGAACUAGUUUUGAGUCACUCACUGUAUGGAAGAAUCACAAUCCAGGAUACACAGCUGUGUUUUAAGCUUCUGGGGAAUGUUCCCUAACACAUCUCACCUGCUCCAAAGGAAUGAAAAUGGCUCCCACCCUCCUAGAUGCUAAAAAUUCAUCAUGUGCUUUAAUAACAUGGGUUUGCAUUUCACUCUUGCCCCUCAUGGGACGUGUGCCUUUAAGUUGCUCAGCCCUCAGAUCUCUUAUCGCCAAAAUGGAUUCUGAUUUGCUUCUAAAGUUCUUGAGAAAAUGAGAUGUGACAAAGGGCUUAGCAUCAAUCUAAGACAUACUAAUAGUUGUUUCAUGAAUGUGGAAUGAAAAAAAUGUCCAAUUAGUGAAUAUAUCAUUAUUAUUAUCAUAGCUUUGUAUGUUGGUGUACACUUGGCCACACUGUGUGACAACCUGUAAUGUUUCUGGAGACUCUUUCUACUCAGAGAAGAAUCUUUUUAUAGACUGCAUUUCCUUCACCAACUAGAACUCACUCAGGCAGCUGGUACAUAAAAUGUCAGUGAAGAAUUUGGUCCCCAUCAGGCCUUGUCUGCCAUCCCACUUGCCAUGACACCAUGAACCCAGUAUUCUCUGAAUUUUUGUUAACCCCGCACCUCAUUCUAAUGUUCCCGAAAACAGCUCUCUGUGCUCCCAUAGCCCUGAGGUCAAGGGAACACACACAUCAUAUGAGUUUCUUUCUGUUUUACAGAUGAGGGAAUGGAGGCAAAGUUUUAGGCAGACGGAUCUCAGUUAUUGGAGGAAGAAGUUUCAAAAGGCUGCUGAGGCCCAUCUCCCUCUGGCUUUUCCUUCUGCUGGGGUUUCUGCCAAAGCAAGGGGGUGUGAGUUGAACAUAUGAGAGAAAAUCUCCAUAAAGGGGUCUCGUUCAGGGCCAAACAUACAGCCACCGGGCCUGUGGUCCUUCACAGUACCGCUCUUGGAAGCCUUGUGGAAGCCAAGAGAACUCUCGGUCAUCUUACAGGGCUAAGUGGACAAGGCAGGUUUCACAUUUUCAAAAUUGCAGUGACAUUAGUCAUCCAUUGUGAGUGAAGGAUCUAUUCAUUUCCUCAGAGCGUCCUUAACCUUGUUAUUCUUUCCCCAGUGCAUCUUCUGGGGAAGGACACACCACGUGCCUCAAGGACCACAGGAGCGGGUGAUGCUGAUUCACCAGAUCGCCACAAUGUGUUUCCCGAUUGUUGAAUUGUGGGCAGACAUUUAUCUCUGUUUACCCUUCUAAAAGUCCUUGGCCAAAAAAGACAGGAUGUACCUCCAAAACACAGCAUGCUCAAAACUGAAAGAACGCUAUGCUAACAGCCUUGCCUCUUUGGAUUUAGCCGGCUCUACGUUACGUAUCAUGGAACAGCUGAAGUCUUUUUCUAAAUUUUAUUGGGUGCCAUUUUGGUAAGAGUGAAAUUGUUGAAAUACUCAGUGUUUGAGACAUGUCUGUAUAUACAGGCAGCAGAUGAAAUGAACAAGAUGAAUUUAGGAGCACUUUGGAUUUAAAGUACAAAAACACACUCUAGUCUGCCUUUCUCUGUCUUGAGCUGGGCUGUGGCAGGGAGAAGGGGUGGAGCUGGAAUCGCAGUAUGGAGUUCAAAUCCCAUUCUGCCACUUACUUCCUCUGGGAUCGUGAUUAAGGGGCUUCACCUCCGUGGAACUGAGGUUCUUCACCUGUAAAAUGGGACAAUAACUAUACCUUGGGACAAUGGGACAAUAACUAUACCUCAUUUUUUUAAUGUUUUUUUUUUUUAAGAUUUUAUUUAUUUAUUCACGAGAGACACAGAGACAGAGGCAGAGACAUAGGCAGAGGGAGAAGCAGGAUUCCUUCGAGGAGCCCAAUGCAGGACUGGAUCCCAGGAUCUCGGGAUCACGACCUGAGCCGAAGGCAGAUGCUCAACCACUGAGCCAUCCACGUGUCCCAUCUUGGGUUCGUUUGAUAACACUUACAGAGUAACUAGCACAGGACUUAAAAGCCAUAGGUUAAAAAAAAAA